RNAcentral lists this ribosomal RNA (253 nucleotides) under uncultured bacterium. RNAcentral describes it as "partial 16S ribosomal RNA". It matches the Rfam family "Bacterial small subunit ribosomal RNA", at positions 524 to 776 of the family's 1533-position model. The record is from RNAcentral.
UACAGAGGUGGCAAGCGUUGUUCGGAAUUACUGGGCGUAAAGGGCGCGUAGGCGGUUCGUUAAGUCCUGUGUGAAAUCCCCCGGCUCAACUGGGGAACUGCACAGGAAACUAGCGGGCUUGAGUUCGGGAGAGGGUAGCGGAAUUCCGGGUGUAGCGGUGAAAUGCGUAGAUAUCCGGAGGAACACCGGUGGCGAAGGCGGCUUCCUGGACCGACACUGACGCUGAGGCGCGAAAGCUAGGGGAGCAAACGGG